RNAcentral lists this long non-coding RNA (497 nucleotides) under Phoenix dactylifera (date palm). RNAcentral describes it as "long non-coding RNA (PDAC_LNC006676)". The record is from RNAcentral. Lineage: Eukaryota; Viridiplantae; Streptophyta; Magnoliopsida; Arecales; Arecaceae.
ACUAUUGAAAGUAACAAAAAUCUAAAAAAAAAGAUAAAAAUUUUAGAAGUUAAGAAUACAAAAAUCACAAAAUAGUAUAAAUCAUUAAGCUCAUACAAAAAUACAUAAUAAUUAUGUAAAAUAUUCAAAUAGAUGUAGUUAUUUAUCUGAGGACGGAUAAACCUAUGCAACAAGGAUGCAAUCAGGUCAAGCUGAGCCAUCAAAGAUUAUAUCUCUGUCUGAUGGCUUUGCCUCAUCUCCUCCAUCCCUGUUUUUAGAUUACGAACCUCUGCAGUGCUAUUACUGCCUGGCAUUCUGGGUAUAUCUGCUCACUACAGACAACUUAAUGGAGGUAACUCUAACACCAUAACUCCUCACUCGACCAUAACGCUCCAGUCCCAUCAAUUUGGCAAACAUUUGAGUUUUAACACGACUGGUCUGACCAGAUGAUGAUGACUCUUUGACAUGCUCUGCAAUAAGGGAUGAGCCAUGUCCUAUAUUUAAGAAAAAAGUCACAU